CUAAAAUUUAGAUACAUACACAUGUAGAGACAUGUCAAACAAGACAUUGUUUACAAGGCGCCAUCAACAUAUGUUGAGCGAUGUGUGUUACAAAACGCACAACAAGGACCGGUGACUGUGGAUAGCUAGACUCACUUUGAGGCUUCAUAAUCAUAAACUAAGGCCAGUUGUUUGUAAACGAUAGUGAAUGGCAUUGGAAUGCAAAUUAAAUGGGUGUCAAUUCAUGGAGCACGUGCUGGGUCGGCUCUAUGUCAAAAUUUCCUCUUGCAUUAUGUCUGCAUUGAUCCUGCAGUGCAUGUGGUAGCACAAACACCAGUCUAAUGCACCAGUCAAUUGUCAAAUUAUAUAUCUACUCACAUGCAUAAGAUUCCACUAUCCCAAUCUUCAGUCUUGUGAUCUUAAUUAACCUUCACAUGUUCUUGUUGCGGUCAUUGUUCUAAGAGAGUUUUAGAUAACAAUUAUGCUAUGGGUAAAAUAAAAAAUAAAAGAACGUUUAAACCUAUAGAAAAUGUGUAUCCAUUGAAACAUUUUAUCUAGGAAAAUGACAGUUAGAUCUCUAAUUUUUUUAUUUCACCACUAAAGUCCCUACCUACUUUUUCUCAAAUUAAUCCUUGUAUCUUUGACCUUAAAACGGUAACAUAAAAAAAUCCUUGUAUCUUUGAGUUCAUUCCGCUAAUUACCUUUAUGUGCUGCAAUCGAGAGGAUUUGAUCUGAAUCCAACGUACCGGUAAUGGGAACAAGUUGUCAAAAUAUAAAUUAUAAAGCACUAAAGCAACAUGAAAUUAGACAAUUGGCAUCUGAUGUGAUGAUGAAAUGUGAACAAGUGGUAAAAAAUAAAUUUAUAUAUAUAGGCUAUGUCCUGUUUGUGUCUUGCCAUUCCCAAUGGCGAACAGCCCUUAAAAUUGACUAUAUAUGUUGUAGCAAAAAGCCAGAAGUACAGUAUGGCCUUACCCUUACAUGGAAGUUGAAACAGCCUUUGGAAAUGCUCAGAUGCCAAAGGAAUAUUUAUGUCAUUUUGCUUUGCUUUUAGUUAAUUUGCUACAGCCCAAAAGUCGACAUAAUAAUUUUCAAAUAUAUAUACAUGCCUAAUAUCCAUAGUGGUCGUGGGAUUCUUGUUUGCAGUUUAUUUUAAUUAAGGUCUUAUUUAGUAUUGAGGUGUAACGGUUUUUAAGUCACAACUACCGUUUAAAAGAAAUUUAUAAUUGUAAAAUAAAAUUGAUAAUGUAUAGCAAA
This 1233-nucleotide long non-coding RNA is filed under the name Citrus x clementina. Its description in RNAcentral is "Citrus clementina (C. clementina) long non-coding RNA (CCLE_LNC002574)". Lineage: Eukaryota; Viridiplantae; Streptophyta; Magnoliopsida; Sapindales; Rutaceae. The record is from RNAcentral.